GACGCGGGCGGGUGCCGUGGUGAAGGUGGUGCGAGAGCAUUACCUGCGCGACGAUAUCCCCUGCGGCGCCGACGCCUGCCUACUCUAGGCGCGGCCUAGCGGCGCCGCCAGCGGCCUGUGCCCCGGGCCGCACUACCUGCUGCCCGACACCAACCUCCUCCUGCACCAGAUUGAUAUUCUCGAAGACCCUGUUAUUAAGAAUGUCAUUGUGCUACAGACAGUUUUACAAGAGGUCAGGAAUCGGAGUGCACCAGUGUACAAACGAAUCAGAGACGUGAUUGGAAACCCUGAAAAACAUUUCUAUUCCUUCACCAAUGAACAUCAUCGAGAAACAUACAUAGAGCAAGAACAAGGAGAAAGCUCUAAUGACCGCAACGACAGAGCCAUUCGGGUAGCAGUAAGGUGGUACAGUGAACACUUGAAGAAAAUACAGAAUGAGGAGAAUGAAGAUAUCCAAGUUAUCUUUCUUACAAACGACAGAAAUAAUAAGGAGAAAGCCCUUGAGGAAGGGAUAACUGCUUAUACGUGUGAGGAGUAUAUUAAAAGCUUGAUAGAUAAUCCUGAUCUUGUAGAUCGUCUUGCUUGCGUAUCUGAUGAAGGGAAAGAAAUAGAAAGUAGCAAAAUAAUUUUCCCAGAACACGUUCCUCUUAGCAAAUUGCAGCAAGGAAUAAAAUCUGGCAUUUACCUCCAAGGAACCUAUAGAGCAAGUAGAUAUGAUUAUCUUGAAGCUACUGUCUGGGUUCAUGGAGAUGCUGAAGAAAACCAAGAGGUGUGUGUUUUAACUUGAUACUGUGAAUUUUAUUUGGUCAUUACUGAAUGAUUAUGUAAUUAUUUCACAGUGGUAAGUGGUAUUAAAAUGCAGCAUUAUUUUUUUUUUCUCUUUUUGUUUAUUUUUCUGACGUGGGUUUUUUGCUUUGUUUUUGUGGAGAUAUCCUCAGUAUUUCAGUGGUCUGCCAUUUUACAAAAAAAUAUGAUGUUAAAAGGCAUAAUGUGUCCUUUGGAAAAGUAUGUAAUAAACUAAAAUGGAAUCUUUGAUUUUCAACGCUGUCAUAUUCAAGUCAAUUGAAAUAGUAUUUUCUUAAAUUAUUUUGAAGCGUGUGAUGAAGAAGUAGUAAACUUGUAGGAAUAUUUACAGGAAAACUGUGGUGAGCCCUCGUGGGGCUCUCUUGUGUUAUUUGCCCUGAUAUUUUUCGGCUGUUGCCCUUUGAGCAGUUUACCUUGGUUUCUGCCUGCUGGAUUUUGAACGUGCAGCUGGUACAAUUGGACACAUAUUGUUUCCAAAUGGCAGCAGAUGACUCCUCACUCCCUAUUUCUGGCGGCAGCUGACAGUUCUUCCUUGGCUCUCAGAUUAUUGUAUUCCGGACUCACAGCAGUAUGUGAAAGGCUCUUAGCGUGCAAAAAUAGAAGAAUUUUCUGAUUCGAAGAAGAAAAAAAUCGGGAAAACAAGUGGUUUUACAGAGACUAUUGGAAUUGUGAAAUAAGAAAUUGGUUAAAAGGCUGCAGUCAGAGGGUGGUCAUCAAUGGCUGUAUGUCCAGGGGUUGGCUGGUAACGAGCAGCGUCCCCCAGGGGUCUGGUUUGAGGCCAGUGCUCUUUAUCAAUGACAUCGAUGACGGAGUUGAGUGCAUUC
This is a non-coding RNA of Meleagris gallopavo (turkey), 1628 nucleotides long. The record is from RefSeq and is a predicted model, not a curated record. NCBI's taxonomy places the organism in Eukaryota, Metazoa, Chordata, Aves, Galliformes, Phasianidae.